AGUCAACCUGCCCUGGAGACAAGGACAACCCCGGGAAACUGGGAUUAAUCCUUGAUAGGUCAUCUCAUCUGGAAGGAGAGAUGGCUUAAAGGGGUACGCGGGCUUCUUCCGCGAAUCUGCUCCAGGAUGGGACUGCGUCCGAUCAGGCUGUUGGCGGGGUAAUGGCCCACCAAACCUGGAACCGGUACGGGCCUUGAGAGAGGUGGCCCGGAGAUGGACACUGAGAGAAGGGUCCAGGUCCUACGGGGCGCAGCAGGCGCGAAACCUUCGCAAUGCGCGAAAGCGUGACGAGGUUAAUCCGAGUGACUCCCGCUGAGGGGGUCUUUUGUCAGCUGUAAAUAGGCAGGCGAAUAAGGGGAGGGCAAGCCUGGUGUCAGCCGCCGCGGUAAUACCAGCUCCUCGAGUGGUCGGGGCGAUUAUUGGGCCUAAAGCAUCCGUAGCCGGUUCCGUAGGUCCUCUGUUAAAUCCAACCGCUUAACGGUUGACCUGCAGAGGAUACCGCGGGACUAGGAGGCGGGAGAGGCGGACGGUACUCCGCGUGUAGGGGUAAAAUCCUUUGAUCCGCGGAAGACCACCAGUGGCGAAGGCGGUCCGCCAGAACGCGCUCGACGGUGAGGGAUGAAAGCUGGGGGAGCGAACCGGAUUAGAUACCCGGGUAGUCCCAGCCGUAAACGAUGCUAGCUAGAUGAUUCAUUCGCAAGUCGCGAAUGAAGUGUCGCAGGGAAGCCGUUAAGCUAGCCGCCUGGGGAGUACGGUCGCAAGACUGAAACUUAA
This 774-nucleotide ribosomal RNA is filed under the name uncultured archaeon. RNAcentral's name for it is "bacterial SSU rRNA". It matches the Rfam family "Archaeal small subunit ribosomal RNA", at positions 102 to 859 of the family's 1478-position model. The record is from RNAcentral.